Molecule: non-coding RNA, 2177 nt
Organism: Cricetulus griseus (Chinese hamster)
Lineage: Eukaryota; Metazoa; Chordata; Mammalia; Rodentia; Cricetidae
Source: RefSeq, a predicted model, not a curated record
UAAAAAUCAGAGGACGAUCGGAAAGUACUAAAAUACCGCAGUGAGCAGGCCGCCCUCCACCCUGCAGAAAUCUGGGUCUCUGGAAGCAGAGCCGACUGAGUGUCAAAGUUCCCUUGGUAACGCUAAAUUUACUAAGCAUCUUGAAGGGCCUUAAAGCCAGCGUCCCAGUGAGUGCACCUAACUGUGUUGUGUCAACUGUUUCUGAGUCGGUCAACGUCCUGCUGCCUGCAAGAUGUAAGACUCUCAGCUCCAGCACCACAUUUGCCUGAAUGCCGCCAUGUUCCCCAUAAUGAUAAUGGACUGAACCUCUAAAACUAAGUGAGACACCCCAGUUAAAUGUGUUUAAGAGUUGUGGUGGUCAUGGUGUCUCGUCACAGCAAUAGAAAUGCUAAGACGGGCACCACCAACAAAAACAAAGGAUUCCCCAAAAGUAGAAAGUAGAAGCUUGAUAAAGCCAUGAGUUCAAUUAGAGCAAUGGCAAAUUAUGUGUGGCUACCUUGUUAAAGAAAUCUCUCCCUCUUAUUCUCACCCAAGCAACCUGUUAACUGUCUGUAAAUCCUCUGGGAGUAGAGUGACCUCAUAAAGCCCCACCCCACCCCCCAACUUCCUUGAAGAAAGAUUAUCCUGGUAAUCAUAGCUGUUGACAGUUUGUUCCUCCCAGAGGACAGAAUUCCACAAUUCUCUGCUUUGAAGUCCAUUGCCUAUAACAGGUAUGCGUCCCACACAGGGGAAGCCAGGCUUGGUUGGGUAUGCUGUUUGGUUGCAGGAACAAUAAAAGGCCCAGAGCAGUAAGAAUGGUCAGCUUGUCUGCCAUGGAGUCUACAGAAGGGUAGACAAAACCAAUACAGGAGCCACAGAGAUGCCUGUGAUUGGUCAUUCUUUGCUUUUGAAUUUUUUUAUUGCAGCUACUAAUCUCUUGUGUGGGUGUACGUUGAGCCAUCUCAUCAACCCUAUUUUGCUUGUUUGUGUGUCUUUAAGAUGUAUUUACCGUUGUGGGAAGGAAUGCAUAUUCAAAAGCAUACAUGUGGAGAUCAGAGAACAAUUUGGGGAGCAGCUGUCUCUUUACACCUUCUUUUAUUCAUUUAUUCAUUUAUUUGUUUUGGUUUUUCGAGGUGGGGUUUCUCUGUGGCUUAGGAGGCUGUCCUGGAACUAGCUCUUAUAGACCAGGCUGGUCUCGAACUCACAGAGAUCUACCUGCCUCUGCCUCCCGAGUGCUGGGAUUAAAGGUGUGCACCACCACCACCCUGCUUCCUUCCACCUUCUUUUGAGUCUGCCACUGAAUGGCCAAUGCCCCUGUUUCCUCAUCCCAUUUCAUUACAAGUCAUAACACAAUUAUAUAAUAUGCAGAGUUUCCUUGGAAGAGGUUGAGGAGUGGAGUAAAUUCUUCCCUAGGUCAUGCCAGGUCCAUAAAAAAGGACAAAACUUAGGUGCCUGCAGAGCUGUGGGAGACACAGUGUAGCAGGAAGGCAGGCCAGGUGAAAUAGGAGACUCCAUGUUCCCGAGCCAGCCACCUUAACUCUCAGUCCAUUCCUUCUUUUGCUGAGUGACGGACCCCGUUACUGCAUCUCUCUAGUGUCUCCAGGAUGUCUGUGCCAUAAGGUUGCCCUAAAGAGUAAAUGAUCUGAUUCCCAGACUCCCAAUGUCUAUAUAGAGCCUUCAAGUUUACUGAAGGAUGAGUGCAACGAGGAAGGGGCCAAUGAAUGAGAGGGUUGGCAAUCCAGAUACGCACCACAGAGCUGUCAGGAGCCUCCCCGAGGUGACAUGGGAGAAAAGGCCAACGAGGGCAGAGGUAUUUUAGUUUCCUGUGAAUGGUGGCUUAGAACAGCAAUUUCUUCUUUCAGAAGUUCAAAAAUCAAGGUACUGCAGGAUCCUGUGCCCCAUGGAGGCUGUAGGAAAGGAUUUUUGUCAUACUGAUUCCAACCUCUCCUGGUUGGUGCCACGGGCCUUUAAUCCCAACACUCAGGAUGCAGACGAAAGAGGAUCUCUAUGAUUUAGAGGCUAGCCUGGUCUUCAUAGUGAGCUCCAGGACAACCAAAGUUAUAUAGACAGAAAAAACAAAAACAAAACAAACAAACAAAAAAAACAAAACUUCUGGUGGCUCCAGGUAUUUCUUGGCCUAUGGCUGCACCACUCCAAUCUCUGCUUCUUGUUAAUUAAAAAAAUAUAUUUUUUAUGUA